This is a non-coding RNA of Labrus bergylta (ballan wrasse), 1626 nucleotides long. The record is from RefSeq and is a predicted model, not a curated record. NCBI's taxonomy places the organism in Eukaryota, Metazoa, Chordata, Actinopteri, Labriformes, Labridae.
AGGCUAAUUUGCAACCCCUGUUGUCAGGCAUACCACCCUGCAUGAGUCCACCCGAGUCAGAAAAGUCUGGACAUGCCCCUGCUGACAGACUUAAGAUGUUUUGAAGCAUGCAUAAAUCUACUGCAUUACAUUGCAGGUGUUAUUAUUAUUUAGCUCCCUAACAAUGUUUGCAAUGAAUGCAUAAUGUGAUGUGUUUUCUGUCCAGGAGCUGACCUCAGACCCUGCAGGGUCUCGGUCUGCUGCAGGGACCGGUCAGGACACGGCUGAUCCUGAAGGCGGGGUUUCCUACGCCUCCAUCAGAUACAACAAGAAGGGGAAAAGAGAAGCUCGGGUUUGUGCUAAAGACGAUGCUGACGAUGGUUCAGUGACCUAUGCCUCCGUCAAAGCUUCUUCUUCUUCUACUGCUGCAGGAGCCUCUGCUGAUCCCAGCAUCCUCUACGCCACCAUCAACAAAGAGAAGAAAUAAGAAUCCAAAGUAAAGUUACAACUCAGGUUUUUUCAGCAUUCUACACUGAAAACUACGGAGCCCUACAAGGCUCAGGUAGGACAAAAUUAAAAGCAAUUUGUAAAUCUUUUUUUCACGGUUUACAAAUCUGUGUGCACAGUUUAUAAACAGUGCCCAUGGAUUUGUAAACCGUGUGCAUGGAUUUGCAAUCUGCAGGCACACUUUCAGUUUAAGAAACCGUGCGCACUGUUUUGAAAUCUGUGUGCACCAUUUAGGAAUCUGUGCCCACAGAUUGUAAAUCAGUGUGCAUGGAUUUGUUGAAAUGAUCGACAGCUUUUUAUUUUUUGUCUCACCUGAGCCUUGCAGGGCUCAGUAGAAAACAGAUACUGAUAGAUGUGUUUGUAUAAGACUUUGUGUUGAUGACUUUCAAGAGUUAUUGCUUUAAGAUGCUUUUCCUUCAAAAGAGGGCGUUGUAGGUUUACUAGUAGCACAAAGACCUAGCAUAAUACCUCUGCAUGAAAUGUAAAUCUACGGAGAUCCUGAAGUCCCAAAAGUUAAAAAAAGAUAUUGGGCACACCAGUUAAUAUCUUGUGUGAACACGAUACUAACAAACCUUUGACUACAUGCUAGUGUGUGUGAGCACUGACUGUUUCUUGUCUUAAUCCUUGCACACAGGAUAUUCACUUGUGAGCACAACAUAACAUCUUGUGCACAAGUUAGAUGAUAACUCAAGUGCACAAGAUAUUUUUUUCCACUUUUUAGGACUUCAGGGGCUCCAUAUAAACCAGCUUUUAAAAUAAGUUUAUAUACGCAGCAGGCACUUUGAUGUGCAUGUGUUAAGUUGUAGUUUCUCAUCACUGCUCAGAUCAUUCUGUAUGUACUGAGAGGUACAUGACUGAGAAGAGGAAGUGAGAUAACGAUCAUCUUGACUAAGUCACAUCCGAGAGUCUGUAGAAACCCAUAAAAGGCUAAAUCGACAGAGUGUGAACUUCAUGACAGAUAAAGGAGGAACCAGAAAGUGGGGUAAUAUACACUUUACUAAUAAGAGGAAGGUGAGGAAUAGUUCUCUUGAUGCAGCUCCAGGUUAGACGCUUAAAAGAAGAGAGAGGAGAGAGACAUGAGGGUUCAGUUGUUGAAAUGUUUUCUUCUGAACAUCAUAAAAUAGCUCUUCAACUCGAUUU